Molecule: long non-coding RNA, 6774 nt
Filed under: Capsicum annuum
Lineage: Eukaryota; Viridiplantae; Streptophyta; Magnoliopsida; Solanales; Solanaceae
Description: long non-coding RNA (CANN_LNC012419)
Source: RNAcentral
UUAUUUUAUUGAAGUACAUAUUGGGACACAACAUAUAAACUUGCUCGUCAGUUAAAUAGAUCCUUCAUAGUGACAUCUCCAUUCUGAAUGCGUGUGACAUACACAAAUUAUAGGUACUGGAAAACUGCACCAAAUGCCUAAAGACCUGAAUUGAAUACAUACACUUGGUAUAAUCCAGCUUACAAGCCAAUCAGCACUCGGUCAUUUAAAGGACACUACAACAUUUUUCAUCAUAAUCUACUCCAGAACUCUAAUUUCUUGAGGUCUAAUAUGCUCACGGCCAGCAAAAGAAUUUUUCCGCUCGUAAGCUGUUGUUUGCUCCGUAACUUGCUCCUCCAUUUGCCUUAUCCGAGACCAAGUUUACCCAUUGGACUUUAGACAGCCAUCCGUAGCAUCAUAAGAGGAAUCAACCCACCCGCCCACCCCUUUGAGGUAGUGUUGCGAUGAACCAUCAAGUUAACCGUUAGAUUUAAUCAGAACUCAGACUUUCAGAAGACCUUAUGACGGUCGAAAUGGUGGACCGUCAUUCUUGUGACGGAUUAUUAACUUGACCGUCAGGCCUAGACAGAACCCAAGAAAUUAGGUCUGGCUGCGAUGGACCAAAUGGCGGACCGUCAGUCUUACGACAGAUCACCAAGUUGGCCAUCCAUUUUAUGAAGAACCUGGCUCCCUGAAGGACUCAACGACAGACCAAAUGGUAGACCGCCAGUCUUACGACGGACCACCAAGUUUGCCGUCAGUUUUAUCCAUAAAGUGACCUUCCAAGAUCAGCAGCGACGGGCCAAAUGGUGGACCAUCAACUUUGCGAUGGACCACCAAUUUGUUCGUCAUUUUGGAUGCAGAUUUUAUGAUUUUGAAUUUUAACUCCCUUUUAGCUGGGAACAUCCAAAUACCAAGUGUUAAGGUUUAGUGGGGAAAUUUUUUUGUCUUGAAGUUCAAACUUACUCCUCUAGUGAGAGCUUUGUACUACUUUUUAUUGGGAUUUGAAUCAAGAGAUUGAUAUUUUGAUUAGUAGUAUUAAUAUUUUGCGUCAAAGAUUAAGAAGAGCAAUACUGUAAUUUUUGUAAGUACUGUUCUAAAGUUAUUUAUGAACAUAAAUAUAACUUUGAUUUCUAAUAUGGAGAUGAGUAGAGAAACUCGCAUAACUAGGGUUAUGGGAUCCUUGAUGUAGAGAACUAUUUUGGGGUUGUGAAUGGGUUUGAUUUGUAACAUCUAUCGAAAUUGCAUGAAUCAUUCUUCAUCUUAAUGAUAUCUCUUGGUUGCAAACCAGAGAAGUGAGCCAAUGAACUCCACUUGUCUGACAAGAAAGUGGAUGUUGGGAAAAAAGUGAUUCACAUAAACUCCAUAGGUUUACCCUUUGGGUUAAUAGGUUGAUGCCUUAACAGGAUCAACCAUCAUGAGAGUGUUAUUGAAUAAUGUAUGGACCCUUUAAGUUCAUGAGAAGUAAAGGGUGAAAUACUUAUGAGGUUGAGAAACAUAUGGGUAAUCUUCAGAAUUCAAUAAUUCUUACAAUUGGAUACAUAAGUUACAAUUCGAGAACAAACUCACAACCCUAAUUGUUUGAAUAUCUUGGUGAGCAUAACUCUAGUUAAUUUAUUCUCAUUGGAACUACAUCUACAUUUACUCUCAGUAGUUGGGCUUUUGUGUAACGCCAAUACAAAAGAACAUUGUUAACAUUUCCAAACCCCCUUUAUUUUGGAGCCUUAGAUCAACAGUCUAAUAAUAGCCACAAUACUUAGUGAACAUAGUAUUUCCUGUGGGAUUUGACACCCAACCCAAUUGGGUUCAAUAUUUGACAACGACCGCUUACUCUCUCGUAAGAGAGUUGUAAUUUGGGUGUAUCAGUAGUCAUCUUUUCUUCUCUUGUCACCAACACACUAUCUACUCUAAUAUUUGUGCCUAUCUCCAUAAUAGUUCCAAUCUUGGUUUCCUUACCCUUUGGCUCUAAAACCCGCCAACUUACGAUCUUGGUACUUUGCUUCUUUUUCUAAAUCAAAAUCAUAAGAUUUAGAGACCUUACCCUGUGAACCAACUGCAUUCACUUUCUCAAAAUUCAUUGUUGCAAACUGCUUCGUCAGGAGCCCAAUAUCAGUUCUAAGUUGCGUAAUAUCUUAUGCCACAAAAUUAUCAACCACUCUAUGCUCACUAGAAUCUCCAAUGGCAUAAGUGCCAGUACCUCUCUCCGUAUCCCAAGUAUACCACCCUCAGUUGGUGAGAGAGAUUUGGUCUAAAAUAUCUUAUGCUACUUUCCAGCGUAGAUGCAUAAAUGCUCCACCAGUGAUCGUAUCUGCUAUAGCUUGAGAACUGAUAGUCAGGGGUCGAUAAAAUAUCUCAAGUAAAUUAGUCUCAUAAAUAUGAUGAUUGGUUACCAUCUUCUUAAACUGAAACCAUUCCUCAUUCAUCGACUCAGAAUGUAGCUUCCUGAAGUUAUAUGUCUCAUCUAUCAAUUGCAAUAUCCUGGGCAGAGGGAAGAAACGGUCUAGAAACUGCCUGCAUAACUAAUUCCAAGUAGUAAUUGAUCCUUUAGGAAGUUUCCAUAACCAUAAUGAAGCUUCACUAGUCAACAAAAACAGGAACAACCUAAGUCUGUACGCUUUCUAAUCUACCCCACCUAUAGUGUAUAAAGUUCAGAUCCUAAUAAAGUUUGCAAGAUACAUGUUUGCAUCAUCUGUAUCCAAGCUCGCAAACACACCUUUUGAGUUCAAGAGUUGGAUCAUAGCACAAGUAAUGUCGAACUUAACACCUGGUGUCAAAGUAGGAGGAAUGAUGGCUUCUGUCUAGGCAGAAUCAAUGUAUCCCAUAUCCUCCUCUGGAUCAUCAUAUCGUGGUAAGUACUGGUAGGUUGGAAUUACUUGAACUCUACCACCUCCAACUCUAUAUCAAUUUUCGUCGAGUGCUAUUGGAUAAUCUGUUUCUUGUCUCUGUCUUACUAUCUCUGCCUCCUGCGCAUCUGCUUCCCUUUUCUGGUUAACAGCUUUCUCUAAUAACUAUUUAGUUCUCUAAUCAAUAAUGUUUUGAACAUUCCCAAGAGGAUGAGGCACAGUAUUAGGAUCAUCCCUAACCCCUUCAAGAUGGCCUUCACGUACGUAUUCUGUCAUCGUACGAUUCAGCUGUAGAAUUUUCUCUGGGUUUAGGAUGUAGUGGGUGUAAGGGAUUGCCUUGACUCCUAGUUAGGCAUACACUAGUGUAUGAUCACCAAAAUCAAUAAAACCAGUAUGAUAAUAAUCAUACUGGUUUGUUGUUUCAAAAACUAUAAGAGGAGCAUCAACCAACUUAUCAACACCGCUAGCCCCAGCACCAGCACCAUGACCAUUACCGUCAUCACCACCGCCAUCUCCAGUAGCCCCAUCAACAAUAAAAAGCCCACCCUCCAAAGUGUUUUUCUUGUGAUGGUUAUUGCUCUGACCAUUUGUUUUUAUUCUAUCAAUCACCUUAGGGUCUAAUAAAGUUUGCACAGACUGCAAAGUAAGAAAAUAAAUAAUAUAUAUAUAUUAGAAUGAUAAUUAAAUUAUAUAAAUAAAUCAUUAAUUAAAAUAAAAACAUAAUUAGAAUUAUACUUACUGCUUCCUCUGGGGGUUGACAAGAUCAAGAAAUUUUAUUUUUUAUCACUUUUUUGCCGACAGCCAUCUCAGAAUUCUUACAUAUGAAACUUCUUCUUGGUAGUUCACUUGUUGUCUGAGAUAAGAAAUGGCUUUAAAUAUUCAAGCCUAUAAAAUUACGCUAAUAAAUCAAAAACAUUAUUCAAUUAAAAAUAAAUAAAUCAUAAUAAAAGAAAUAUUUACCAUGAAAGUCCAUGAAAAGUCAUAUAAGUUGAUUGUCUUUGGCGAUAAUGGAGCCAACAAAUAUUUAGCAGUUAUUUUGCAUCUUUCAUAACCCCAAGGAUAGUGUUUAAAUACCUCAAGAUCCUCGGAGAGCUUUAUUAAAUCAAGUGGUAUGUUGAUGUUAACAUCUCUCGCUCAAAGAAUAUUAUGUACAAACCAAACCAAGCACAAUGAUUGAUUAUUCUUCUUUAUGUUUUUACCUUUCAAAUCUUCUAUCAGAUUUGUGUUUUUGAAGCUUGGACCAACAAGGGACAAUAAGUCAUCAUCAUCACUUGACUUGUCUUUGUCUUUUGGUGUGCGGGGUAUUUUUUCGAUUAGAAUAGGUACAGGUUGAGAAGGAGGAUAACAUUUUAGUCCAGUAACUAUGAAAAACUCUUUCCAACCAAAACCAAACUGGCAUGCCACAGUAAUUUAUCCACACCUCAUCCAUCUUAUCUUUAUUUUCAUACAUAAACCUACGCUUGAGAAGACCAUACACCAUGGUCAUUUCGAGACAAGCAUUGUUGCUCUCAGAAAAAUUAAGAUAUUGUCCAAAGCAGCUGUCCUUGAAAUAAGCAUUCAAUUUUUGAUCUUAGAGUAUUUUUUUGAAGAUGUCAAAAGAUUUUCUCAUAACUGACUUUACCAAAAAAUCACCAGUUAAAUUUGUGGCAUCAUCGCUUCAUUGUCACAUGAUAACUAUCAAUGCUGAAGGUUUUGAUCAACUCUUCAAUGGAAGGGCUAUUAGCAUUUGGAUCAUGUCAACUUUUUGAAAUAAAUUCAACAUCUCUUUUGAAACUUUCCUCUUCCUCAUAUUCAUUUUCUUCUGUUUCUGAUUAAGAUAUCAUUUGUACAGCAAGCUCAUAGAGUAGUGGAUGUAGCUUAGCUACUUUACUUAUUCCUUUACUUGGAUUUGAUUCGCUUUCUUUUCUUUUGAAAGCCAUAUUAUCUAAAAAUAAGAGAAAACUAAAAAGAUUACAAUUGAUUAAUGCAUCAUUAAAAAGCGAUAACAGUAAAUUAAUAAGUAACAGAUGACCCAUCUGUUGGAAGAAAUCAAAGUCUUGGACAUGUCAUCUGUUGGAUUAACUGUUAGGAUUUCAUCCAACAGAAAAACCAUUUGUUGUUCAUCUGUUGCAAUAGAUGGUUCAUCUGUUGAAAAAAAUAAACUAGUAGCAAGAUGUAUUCAAUAGAACAACAGCAAUAUCACUAUUUAUCAAUACACUAUUUUUAUCAAGACUAACAACAACCCACAAAUAAUAAAUCAACCCAGCACACCAACACAACACACACACCAAGAACAUCAACAUUUACCAACAACAUUAACAUUGUACAAACACAAAUAACAAAAAAGCUUAAAAAACACAAAAAAACAUCAACAAAUCAAAUCACCAGAGUUGUUUGUUAGAUUUGAUCACAAUAGAUGUCUCUGGAAAAAUUUUAAAAAUCAACUCUCACGAUUUUUACAAAAAUGUUCGACAACAAGAACUAUAGUAACAACAAAAAAUCAUAUUUCACUCCGAAAAGAGAAGAGAAGAAAUACCACAAAUUAGAAUUUUCUUGAACCCUCAUAUCAAAUUUAAGCAACAAAUAUUGAAAGUGUUAACCCAUACUAGAAGAGAUGUUAACUCAAGUUUCCUUUUUUCUUCGUCAUUAGAAAGCCCUCAUUUUUUACCUAUGAAAGUCAAAAAGGAACGAUGAAAAACUCGAAACUAUUGUCACUGGAGAAUAUUGUCACGUCGAUUGACGAUUCAAAGUCGAAAAGGAAUUCGAAACUAUUUGUCGCCAGAGGUUGAAGUCGCCGGAGAUUGAAGGGAGAAAUUUGCCAAACUGUUAGUUGCGAGAAGUUUGAGAGAAAUUGUCAAGAGAAAAGGGGGAGAGACGGUUGAUUUGGAGAGGAGAGGAGAGUUUGAGGGGUGUGGAUUGAUUUGUAUUUUUUUAAAAAUUAGAAAGUUUUGAAAAUAUUAAUUAAGUCCACAAUUAACUUAAUUAAAUUUCUUAAUUAUGUUUGACCCUUGUAAGUGGGUCAAUAUCACCAAUACCACAAUACAAACUUAAAAGCCACAUUUCCUUCAAUUUUCUCCAGUAAUGUACUCCUUCUGAUUUUAACAUGUCUAGCUAUAUAAUAUUUUUCCUUGACCAUUUGGUUUACACUGAAAAGUUACAAUUUUGUUGAUCGUGCUCCUUAGGCAGAUUGUACCCUUGGAGGCAUUUCUUUCCUCCUUUUUAAUAGUACCAAGAAACUUUAACGACUUAAAAAUGGAAUAAAAUAUCAAUUAAUUUCCCACUAUUAUUUUUCGUCAAAGUUCCGAUAAAUGCUUCGGUUAUUAUUAAGUUAAUAACAACCUUAAGUAUAAUUCAAUUAAUUUUUAAAAAAAAAAAAAAAAUUAUGACUGCAAACCGCAUGCAAAUUGACUAGUGCGUAAGCAAAAGCAAAAGAGGUACUAGCACAUAUGUACAAACUAUUGAAAUUCUAGAUGAAACUUCUCUCCCCUCUCUAUCCUAUCUACCAAAUUACAUUUGCGUUACCUUCACCUGAACAAUUUUUUAAAACUUUUUGAAUUAGAUGUACGCCGAAGUAUUUCCAUUGUAUGCACUGUACUUAUUUUAUUGAAGUACAUAUUGGGACACAACAUAUAAACUUGCUCGUCAGUUAAAUAGAUCCUUCAUAGUGACAUCUCCAUUCUGAAUGCGUGUGACAUACACAAAUUAUAGGUACUGGAAAACUGCACCAAAUGCCUAAAGACCUGAAUUGAAUACAUACACUUGGUAUAAUCCAGCUUACAAGCCAAUCAGCACUCGGUCAUUUAAAGGACACUACAACAUUUUUCAUCAUAAUCUACUCCAGAACUCUAAUUUCUUGAGGUCUAAUAUGCUCACGGCCAGCAAAAGAAUUUUUCCGCUCGUAAGCUGUUGUUUGCUCCGUAACUUGCUCCUCCAUUUGCCUUAUCCGAGACCAAGUUUACCCAUUGGACUUUAG